This 465-nucleotide ribosomal RNA is filed under the name Vreelandella stevensii. Its description in RNAcentral is "partial 16S ribosomal RNA". It matches the Rfam family "Bacterial small subunit ribosomal RNA", at positions 338 to 795 of the family's 1533-position model. Lineage: Bacteria; Pseudomonadati; Pseudomonadota; Gammaproteobacteria; Oceanospirillales; Halomonadaceae. The record is from RNAcentral.
CCUACGGGUGGCAGCAGUGGGGAAUAUUGGACAAUGGGGGCAACCCUGAUCCAGCCAUGCCGCGUGUGUGAAGAAGGCCCUCGGGUUGUAAAGCACUUUCAGUGAGGAAGAACGCCUGGUGGUUAAUACCCAUCAGGAAAGACAUCACUCACAGAAGAAGCACCGGCUAACUCCGUGCCAGCAGCCGCGGUAAUACGGAGGGUGCGAGCGUUAAUCGGAAUUACUGGGCGUAAAGCGCGCGUAGGUGGCUUGAUAAGCCGGUUGUGAAAGCCCCGGGCCCAACCUGGGAACGGCAUCCGGAACUGUCAAGCUAGAGUGCAGGAGAGGAAGGUAGAAUUCCCGGUGUAGCGGUGAAAUGCGUAGAGAUCGGGAGGAAUACCAGUGGCGAAGGCGGCCUUCUGGACUGACACUGACACUGAGGUGCGAAAGCGUGGGUAGCAAACAGGAUUAGAUACCCGUGUAGUC